This 814-nucleotide long non-coding RNA is filed under the name Homo sapiens (human). RNAcentral's name for it is "non-protein coding lnc-BOD1-1:22". The record is from RNAcentral. Lineage: Eukaryota; Metazoa; Chordata; Mammalia; Primates; Hominidae.
AGAGAGAGCACUUUCGGGCUUUGCUGAGGAGGGUCUUCAGAAAAAAGAGUACUGCCAACAAGAAGGCCCAAUCAAGAUCCUCCCACAACAAGAGCAGAUUGUGAGCGUGGCAAGCUCUAUGCUGAGCACUGGAAGGACAAAGAGAGAUUGGGCACAGACUUCUCACUGAUCCAGGUGAUGAAGAGCUCACAUCUGAGAGGAUGUGACCAUGGAUGACCCACCAGAAUGUCAUGGGAUCCAGCUACAGCCAAGGAAGCACAGAGCACCGUGGGAGCGAUUUAUUGUGCUUGGGGAUGGGGAAGGGGACAUGGGAGGAGCCAUAUUGAGAAAGUAGCAUGGGUACUUGGCUUCACAGAGUGUGGCAGCUUUCAUCAGGAAGUGAUGGUGGGGGAACAGCGUCUCUGGCGGAGGGAAGCAGCAGGUGCAGAGGUGCAGAGGUGUGAGGAGUCUGUCACAUUCUGGGAAGGGAGUAUGGUUGGGUGACAAUGCAAGACAGAGAAAGCAAGGAGGGAAGGAGGGGCCUAGCCUGAGGAAUAAAGAAUAAUAAAAGCAGGAAAACAAUUGCUGAGAGUUUGGAUACCUUUUUCUGGCCUUUCAUCUAAGCUUUGCUAGCCAGCCAAGAGAAAGCUGGCACUUCCCCUCCCCGAGCUUCCCUCGAAAGAGGAAGGGUUAAUUCAGAACAAGACAAAGAAAUGUCUGGGGACCUAAGUGUGAAAAGGAGAGACAGAGUCAGCCUGAAACCUGAAACUUGAGCAAGUGAAGGGGGCUGGAGAGGAGAAGAGCAAGCCAAGGAAGGGACCAGUCAGUAGCUGAA